ACAUGCAAGUCGAACGGCAGCACGAGAGAGCUUGCUCUCUUGGUGGCGAGUGGCGGACGGGUGAGGAAUACAUCGGAAUCUACCUUGUCGUGGGGGAUAACGUAGGGAAACUUACGCUAAUACCGCAUACGACCUACGGGUGAAAGCGGAGGACCUUCGGGCUUCGCGCGACUAGAUGAGCCGAUGUCGGAUUAGCUUGUUGGCGGGGUAAAAGCCCACCAAGGCGACGAUCCGUAGCUGGUCUGAGAGGAUGAUCAGCCACACUGGAACUGAGACACGGUCCAGACUCCUACGGGAGGCAGCAGUGGGGAAUAUUGGACAAUGGGCGCAAGCCUGAUCCAGCCAUACCGCGUGGGUGAAGAAGGCCUUCGGGUUGUAAAGCCCUUUUGUUGGGGAAGAAAAGCAGCUGGCUAAUACCCGGCUGUCCUGACGGUACCCAAAGAAUAAGCACCGGCUAACUUCGUGCCAGCAGCCGCGGUAAUACGAAGGGUGCAAGCGUUACUCGGAAUUACUGGGCGUAAAGCGUGCGUAGGUGGUUUGUUAAGUCUGAUGUGAAAGCCCUGGGCUCAACCUGGGAAUUGCACUGGAUACUGGCAGGCUAGAGUGCGGUAGAGGAUGGCGGAAUUCCCGGUGUAGCAGUGAAAUGCGUAGAGAUCGGGAGGAACAUCCGUGGCGAAGCGGCCAUCUGGACCAGCACUGACACUGAGGCACGAAAGCGUGNGGAGCAAACAGGAUUAGAUACCCUGGUAGUCCA
This 754-nucleotide ribosomal RNA is filed under the name uncultured bacterium. RNAcentral describes it as "bacterial SSU rRNA". It matches the Rfam family "Bacterial small subunit ribosomal RNA", at positions 53 to 797 of the family's 1533-position model. The record is from RNAcentral.